RNAcentral lists this ribosomal RNA (253 nucleotides) under uncultured bacterium. RNAcentral describes it as "partial 16S ribosomal RNA". It matches the Rfam family "Bacterial small subunit ribosomal RNA", at positions 524 to 776 of the family's 1533-position model. The record is from RNAcentral.
GACGUAGGAUGCAAGCGUUAUCCGGAAUGAUUGGGCGUAAAGCGUCCGCAGGCGGCAGUUCAAGUCUGCUGUCAAAGACCGGGGCUUAACUUCGGAAAGGCAGUGGAAACUGAACAGCUAGAGUAUGGUAGGGGCAGAGGGAAUUCCUGGUGUAGCGGUGAAAUGCGUAGAGAUCAGGAGGAACACCGGUGGUGUAGACGGCUUUCUGGACCGUAACUGACGCUGAGACACGAAAGCGUGGGUAGCAAACAGG